GAGGCGGGCCGGCCCGCGGGCGCUGCUGCUGCCGCUGGCGCUGGCCGUGGCGUGCGCGGCGCGCAGCGCCGACGGGCCCAGCAACAUGUCCUACGUGAAGGAGACUGUGGACAGGCUGCUCCAAGGCUACGACAUCCGCCUCCGCCCUGACUUCGGAGGUCCGCCCGUGGAUGUGGGCAUGCGGAUAGAGAUCGCCAGCAUCGACGUGGUCUCGGAAGUCAACAUGGACUACACCUUGACCAUGUACUUUCAGCAGUCCUGGAGGGAUAAAAGGCUCUCUUAUUCUGGAAUACCUUUGAACUUAACUCUGGACAACAGAGUGGCUGACCAGCUCUGGGUGCCGGACACGUAUUUCCAAAAUGACAAGAAAUCAUUUGUCCAUGGGGUGACGGUGAAAAACCGAAUGAUUCGACUCCAUCCAGAUGGGACAGUCCUUUAUGGCCUACGGAUCACAACAACAGCAGCUUGCAUGAUGGAUCUACGCAGAUAUCCUCUGGACGAACAAAACUGCACACUAGAAAUUGAAAGUUAUGGAUACACUACUGAUGAUAUUGAAUUUUACUGGAAUGGAGGAGAGUCAGCAGUAACAGGAGUGAGUAACAUCGAGCUCCCACAAUUUUCUAUUGUGGAUUACAAGAUGGUAUCAAAGAGAGUGGAAUUUACAACAGGGGCAUAUCCUCGACUAUCACUUAGCUUCCGGCUUAAAAGAAAUAUUGGAUACUUCAUAUUGCAAACCUAUAUGCCUUCCACGCUGAUCACAAUUCUGUCAUGGGUGUCUUUUUGGAUCAAUUACGAUGCCUCUGCAGCCAGAGUUGCUCUAGGAAUCACAACAGUGCUGACCAUGACCACCAUCAGCACCCACCUCAGGGAGACCUUGCCAAAGAUUCCCUAUGUCAAGGCAAUAGAUAUUUACCUGAUGGGAUGCUUUGUGUUUGUGUUCCUGGCCUUGCUGGAAUAUGCCUUUGUAAACUACAUAUUCUUUGGGAAAGGACCUCAACGUCAAAAAAAGACAGCAGGCAGAGCAGGACAUGUUAGAGGAGAGAAAAGCAGACUGGAAACAAACAGAGUCCAGAAACUUCACCAAAAAUAAAAAGCAUAGACAAGCUCUGUUGCUUCAGUGAGCCCUGAAUGAAGCCUGUAGCACUGACCUUCGAGGGACACAAGGAUGCUGCUGCUAGGUUAUAACAGCUUUCAUAGAUGUCAGGAUUUUUUCCUCAGCUAAAUUCAGGCACACACCACUAUCCCCUCUUUCAAAAACAAGCAGAAAACUUUCAGGAAGUAAUACUGUGGACAUAUUUUUAAUGAGGAUGAGUUUAAUUUUGCAAUACAUCACUGAGCACUUGCAAACAUGUAUAAACCUAUUGCACUUUUUCUCAGUUUUUCAGAAACAAAUCCUUUGAAGCCUCAGGUGUAUUUGGCCCAGUCUGACUCAGAGGAAAAUAUAUAUCCUAACAAGCCAAAAAUUUUCUUCCUUCCUGUGCUUUACUUAUAAUAUAUUACAUCCAAGUAUUAAUGAGAUCUUGCCCAGGCUGUCCUAUAAACUUCUUUACUGUUGUGGCCUGAGGUGACAACAUUUGGACAAAACUGUAUUCAAGACCAACACAUAAAACUCUAAGAAGACUUCAUCCUGAUAGAUAGCUACAGUGUCACAUGCACAUCAGGAAGUGCAUUUCAGAAACUCUGUGAUAUCUUAUUAAUUCUAGAGCUGUUUGUUUGGUCCCACCACUACAGCUAUGCAUCAUUAACAAAGCCAUCAUAUCCUCAGUCUCAGUAAAUUCAUGAGCCCAUUAAAAGUUUUUACUUACAUUUGCCUUCUGAUCCAUUGUGUAGGAGAAGCUUUAUUACAGUGAGGGCACAAAUUCAGUUCAGGCAAUCAGCAGUCUCCAAGACCCCACAAAGUACUGUCUUCCACAGAGCAGAGGAGAUAAGCCACCCCAGUAUGGAUUGUCAUGCACAGACAUUGUCUAUCCAUUUCUAUGGAAAAUAAGGAAGGGAAAAAUCAACAUAACCCACAAAUUCUGACCAGCUACCUCAACAGCUCCUGAGAUAACCCAGCCUAGGUGAGAAGCAGCACAGCAAGGAUUCAUGACGAAGAGGAAAUCAAGACUUCUUCAGAGGUCAGCCUUGGCUACAUGUGCCCCAGUGCAGUGAACUGAGUAAAGGAUAAGAGUGCAGGAAGAGUACACAUGACCAGAGCAGUAGGACACAGCAAGGUUAUGUGACCUCCAGUCAAACAGCUCCCAGCCCCUCUCCAUCAUUUUUUGAGAUUUUUCACUGGUAUUAUGAUGCCUGCACCAGAGCAGGGGAAAGUCAUUUUUUGAGCAUAAAAGAAGUACAGUUGUAAGUAUGUAUAGCUAUAGGACAUUUUUUCCCUUUUACUCUUGACCCACACCACUUGUCCAUACAGGGACCUGUAACUAUUAGAAGAUAUGUGACAGUGCUUCAUCUCUUUGUGCCAGGUGAAGAGAUCGAUCAUUCCCAUGUGACAUACAACUCCAAAGACUAAAAGAGUUCAAAUUCCUCCACCAGAUAACACAAGCUUUAAAUGUGUGAGCAACACUCAGCAAACUGACUACGAUAUUAACAGUAUAGAGAAGACCAGAUGAAAAAUGAAACAGAAGUGCUGUUUCAUAGGUGGCUGUUCCAUGCUCCACAGACUGAAGAAGAUAGAAAUAAAGUCUCUCCAGCUUCACAAUUUAUGCCAUUUUUAUUUUUAAUAUACAAAGACUAUUAAUUUGUAGCAAACAAUAUUUCUGUUUCUCUGAAUAAAGUAUAAAGACUGUUUA
RNA transcript from Vidua chalybeata, 2786 nucleotides. It is a transcript of the gene named gamma-aminobutyric acid type A receptor subunit beta1, with no coding region annotated. The transcript has 10 exons. Lineage: Eukaryota; Metazoa; Chordata; Aves; Passeriformes; Viduidae. The record is from RefSeq and is a predicted model, not a curated record.